Molecule: ribosomal RNA, 432 nt
Filed under: uncultured bacterium
Lineage: Bacteria
Description: partial 16S ribosomal RNA
Rfam family: Bacterial small subunit ribosomal RNA
Source: RNAcentral
AACGAACGCUGGCGGCAUGCCUAACACAUGCAAGUCGAACGAAACCUUCGGGUCUAGUGGCGCACGGUUGCGUAACGCGUGGGAACCUUCCCUUAGGUUCGGACUAACUCUCCGACAGGGGUGCUAAUACCGGAUCAUGUCUUCUGCCCAAAGAUUUAUGGCCCUGGGGUGGUCCCGCGUUGGAUUAGCUCGUUGGUAGGGUAAAGCCUACCAAGGCGCGGAUCGAUAGCUGGUCUGAGAGGAAGAGCAGCCACACUGGGACUGAGACACGGCCCAGACUCCUACGGGAGGCAGCAGUGGGGAAUAGUGGACAGUGGGGGAAAGGCUGAUGCAGCAAUGCCGCGUGAGUGAUGAAGGCAGGAGGGUUGCAAAGCUCUUUUACCCGGGAUGAUAAUGACAGUACCGGGAGAAUAAGCUCCGGCUAACUACGUG